RNAcentral lists this ribosomal RNA (484 nucleotides) under uncultured bacterium. RNAcentral describes it as "partial 16S ribosomal RNA". It matches the Rfam family "Bacterial small subunit ribosomal RNA", at positions 30 to 507 of the family's 1533-position model. The record is from RNAcentral.
AUUGAACGCUGGCGGCAGGCCUAACACAUGCAAGUCGAGCGGAUGAAGGGAGCUUGCUCCUGGAUUCAGCGGCGGACGGGUGAGUAAUGCCUAGGAAUCUGCCUGGUAGUGGGGGAUAACGUCCGGAAACGGGCGCUAAUACCGCAUACGUCCUGAGGGAGAAAGUGGGGGAUCUUCGGACCUCACGCUAUCAGAUGAGCCUAGGUCGGAUUAGCUAGUUGGUGGGGUAAAGGCCUACCAAGGCGACGAUCCGUAACUGGUCUGAGAGGAUGAUCAGUCACACUGGAACUGAGACACGGUCCAGACUACUACGGGAGGCAGCAGUGGGGAAUAUUGGACAAUGGGCGAAAGCCUGAUACAGCCAUGCCGCGUGUGUGAAGAAGGUCUUCGGAUUGUAAAGCACUUUAAGUUGGGAGGAAGGGCAGUAAGUUAAUACCUUGCUGUUUUGACGUUACCAACAGAAUAAGCACCGGCUAACUUCGUG